This 399-nucleotide transfer-messenger RNA is filed under the name Schleiferiaceae. RNAcentral describes it as "Phaeocystidibacter sp013373425 Standard tmRNA". It matches the Rfam family "transfer-messenger RNA". Rfam says of the family: Bacterial tmRNA, also known as 10Sa RNA or SsrA, is named for its dual tRNA and mRNA-like properties. Its role is to liberate the mRNA from a stalled ribosome. The record is from RNAcentral. RNAcentral also lists the same sequence under 1 other name. Lineage: Bacteria; Pseudomonadati; Bacteroidota; Flavobacteriia; Flavobacteriales.
GGGGCUGACUGGUUUUGACAGCAAGAUGGAGGAAUGUGUAAGCAUGUCGAGCCACGGAGGGUACGCUCGUUAAAAAGGCGCUUCAGCUUUUAACUGGCAACAAUAAUUACGCGCUUGCCGCUUAAUCGAUUCGAUAGAACGAUUUAGCUAAUCCACGUACAAGGUACGGGAGCGAGCCAUCUCUCAGAACCCAUGUCUGACGGGGUCUGAUUCAGAGGUGCAGAAAGGUUGGACUAGUUACGUCGAUGAUUCUACAGCGUAGCGAAACUUUUGAAUCUAAGCGUGAUGGUCGGGUGUUCAUUCCCAGCCCCAUGUCGAAAACCGAAUAAUGGAAUAAGCAUGUAGAAAGCCCAUUGUUCCCUUGUUUGCACAGGGGUUCGACUCCCCUCAGCUCCACAA